GAUGAACGCUGGCGGCGUGCCUAAUACAUGCAAGUCGAGCGAACGGACGAGAAGCUUGCUUUUCUGAUGUUAGCGGCGGACGGGUGAGUAACACGUGGAUAACCUACCUAUAAGACUGGGAUAACUUCGGGAAACCGGAGCUAAUACCGGAUAAUAUUUUGAACCGCAUGGUUCAAAAGUGAAAGACGGUCUUGCUGUCACUUAUAGAUGGAUCCGCGCUUCAUUAGCUAGUUGGUAAGGUAACGGCUUACAAAGGCAAGGAUGCAUCGCCGACCUGAGAGGUGGUCGGGCCCCACUGGACCUGAGCCACGCUCCAGCCUCCUACGGGAGGAACCAGUGGGGAAUCUUCCGCAAUGGGCGAAAGCCUGACGGGGCACCGCCGCGUGAGUGAUGAAGUUCUUCGGUUCGUAAACCUCUGUUAUUAGGGAAGAACAUAUGUGUAAGUAACUGUGCACAUCUUGACGGUACCUAAUCAGAAAGCCACGGCUAACUACGUG
Molecule: ribosomal RNA, 497 nt
Filed under: uncultured bacterium
Lineage: Bacteria
Description: partial 16S ribosomal RNA
Rfam family: Bacterial small subunit ribosomal RNA
Source: RNAcentral